GAUGAACGCUGGCGGCGUGCCUAAUACAUGCAAGUCGAACGAAGAUGUUCUUGAGUUUACUCGAGAGCUCUUAGUGGCGGACGGGUGAGUAACGCGUUGGUGACCUGCCCUAAAGAAGGGAACAACCUCGGGAAACUGAGGCUAAUACCCUAUAUGCUUCUUAAGAUUAGAUGCUUUUGAAGUAAAGGUUCUGAGGACGAAAGGCCUCAGCGCCGCUUUAGGAGGGGCCUGCGUCCCAUCAGCUAGUUGGUAGGGUAAUGGCCUACCAAGGCAAUGACGGGUAGGGGACCUGAGAGGGUGACCCCCCACACUAGCACUGAAACACGGGCUAGACACCUACGGGUGGCAGCAGUAGGGAAUCUUGCACAAUCGACGAAAGUCUGAUGCAGCAACGCCGCGUGUGCGAUGAAGGCCUUCGGGUUGUAAAGCACUUUUCUGAGGGAAGAGAAAGGACGGUACCUCAGGAAUAAGUCUCGGCUAACUACGUG
This 488-nucleotide ribosomal RNA is filed under the name uncultured Chloroflexota bacterium. RNAcentral describes it as "bacterial SSU rRNA". It matches the Rfam family "Bacterial small subunit ribosomal RNA", at positions 28 to 507 of the family's 1533-position model. The record is from RNAcentral. Lineage: Bacteria; Bacillati; Chloroflexota.